AUGGUUCGUAAUGCUCAAAAAGAGAAGUUGAUUACUGGGCUGGCACCUGACCUCAUUGAAGAUGGGGUGGCAAUCCUCCAGUAUGCUGAUGAUAUAGUAAUUUGUUUUGAACAUAAUGAGGAGGCCGCUGUUAAUCUGAAACUUCUCCUUUAUAUGUUCGAGCAUAUGCUGGGGCUCAAAAUUAAUUUCCUGAAAAGUGAGAUACUUUGCAUUGGGGGGGGCAAUGAUACUUUGAGCUUUUAUGCUAAGCUUUUUAAUUGCCAAAUAGGUCACUUCCCAAUGAAAUAUCUGGGAGUGCCAGUCAGUUACUCGACUCUUCGCGGCCUACAUUGGAUCUUUGUGGAUGAUAGAUUCUUGAAAUGUUGUGACUCUUGGAUUGGUAAUUCGGCCUCCUCUGGUGGGAGACUAAUCCUCCUUAACUCAUCCCUUACCAGCACUAUAUACUUCUAUAUGUUCAUGUUUCUGAUUCCUAAGAUGAUUAUCGACAAAUUAGAUAAACACGGGAAACAUUUCUUUUGGCAAGAACAUGAAGGGCGCAAAAGAUACCAUUUGGUGAAGUGGUCUAGGAUCUGUAGAUCCAAGAAUAAAGGGGCGCUGGGGGUGAAAGACCUUCGUAAACAAAAUAUUAGCUUGCUCACCAACUGGUGGUGGAAGCUUGAGACACAACAUGGUCUGUGGCAAGAUGUUGUAAGAGCCAAAUACUUCAAAAAGGACACCGUUGCCUAA
RNAcentral lists this ribosomal RNA (726 nucleotides) under Triticum aestivum (bread wheat). Its description in RNAcentral is "partial small subunit ribosomal RNA". The record is from RNAcentral. Lineage: Eukaryota; Viridiplantae; Streptophyta; Magnoliopsida; Poales; Poaceae.